RNAcentral lists this unclassified non-coding RNA (211 nucleotides) under Hevea brasiliensis (rubber tree). Lineage: Eukaryota; Viridiplantae; Streptophyta; Magnoliopsida; Malpighiales; Euphorbiaceae. The record is from RNAcentral.
UGUCUGUAUCUUUAUAGUUAAUCCAAAAACAAGAAGCACGGUAGAUUUCUCUCAUCAUGACUGCUGAUAGUGGAUUAAGAACCUGGGCUUACAAAUUAUUUGUUUGUUAAGCAUAAAAGAUAAGUGAGUUUUCAGGUGGAAGACAAUAGUGGAACAGAAGCAGGGGAAUAAAAUCAUUACAAAUCUGCAAGGCAGUAUAGGACUGAAAAAA